GAGAGUAAUCCCAGUCGUGUCUGAGGCCAGGGUUGUUUUCUGGAAGAUGUUGGAGUCUUUGCUUUGGGAGAUACAGUGAAGGAGUUCUAGCAUCUCCGGGGUCAAAACGGAUCCUGGGAUCAGCAGACAGUUAGGAUCAACACAGGGAAUCUACUGAACUAUAGUGGUGACCAGGGUGCCAGACAGCAGAGCUCACUUUUUACCACAUAAUCUGUGUUCAAUCUGACCUGCUCAGCUUCGCUUAGUGGCCAAGAAUGAAUGAGGAGCAGAUUCCAUUAGCUGUAAGUAACCCCUGAUGGCUGGAUGAGCUCAGCCUUGGUAAGAGACCCCUGGGCAGAUCCAGAAGCUGCUGGAUGGAUCACAUACGAACAAAAGAAACAUUUUAACGGGCCAAGCAGCAAUUUGCACAAGGUGUUCAACAGACCGCUCAACAAGAACGCUCUGGACUGGAGGCUAAAUAAAGUACAGAUGCUGGGCUGGAGCUCCCAACAGUGACACUUGGUUCUCAUCAACAAUCACCUGCUGCAAUACCUAAACCCUGACUCUUCUCCUAGUUGCUGAUUUCCGCCAACAAUGCUACAUCCAGCAUUACAUCGGACUUCCACCAGAUCCUAGC
Molecule: long non-coding RNA, 616 nt
Organism: Notolabrus celidotus (New Zealand spotty)
Lineage: Eukaryota; Metazoa; Chordata; Actinopteri; Labriformes; Labridae
Exons: 4
Source: RefSeq, a predicted model, not a curated record